Halocaridina rubra (Hawaiian volcano shrimp) is the source of this 75-nucleotide non-coding RNA. Lineage: Eukaryota; Metazoa; Arthropoda; Malacostraca; Decapoda; Atyidae. The record is from the annotation of a GenBank genome assembly.
ACCUUCUGUGGUGCGUAGUUGGAAGCGCCUAGAUUUAGUAAUUAUAAGCCCUAGGUUCAAGUCCCGGUUGGGGUA